UUCAGCCAAACUUUGAAAAAAAGUACGGGUUCGGGGUCAAGUUUGAGCCCGAACCCAUACUUUUUUUCAAAGUUUGGCUGAA
This 82-nucleotide microRNA precursor is filed under the name Pelobates cultripes (western spadefoot toad). The record is from RNAcentral. Lineage: Eukaryota; Metazoa; Chordata; Amphibia; Anura; Pelobatidae.